This 694-nucleotide long non-coding RNA is filed under the name Heterocephalus glaber (naked mole-rat). RNAcentral's name for it is "lncRNA (ENSHGLG00000042191.1)". Lineage: Eukaryota; Metazoa; Chordata; Mammalia; Rodentia; Bathyergidae. The record is from RNAcentral.
GGAGUUGCAUCACAUGUUGGUCAGGGCUGCAGUCUCAUUGAACCACAGAAAGAGCUGCUUCCAAGAUUUCUUAUAUUGAUAGUGGAAUUUAUCUCCUUGUGGCACUCUCUGCUCUUAGAAGCUGCCUUUGCCAGGAGAGAACAGAUCGAAGGACCACUACAGAUCCAUGGUGCUGUCUGUGGCCCAGAGACUAUGGGAUGCUCUGUAGGAGGACAAGGGCCCUUUGGACACAGGAGACUCUCUUCGUACUGUGCAGGACCCAUUUUAUCUAAUAUCUCAACUCUGGCAGCUCAGUUCAAAUUUCCCUACUCUCCUCUCCACCACCACUCAGGAGAAGAAAGAAGACAACCAAAAGCAUUUAAAUAUAGAAGAACUCAACCCUUACAUAAGAUGUAAUCCCACCAGAACAAGUUUCACAGCUGUUGGCAAAAUGCCUGAAAUCACUGCAACAGGACUGACCAUUCAAAAAGGGAGGAAUUGCUUCCUGCAAGUGGCCAAGCUCUUUUAUGCAGCUUGUAGGUUUUCUAGAGCAAAACUUAGAUUAAAAUCCAUCAUACAUAUUUUUAGCCUGGGUGUUGGAUAUAUUUACAUAUAUUGUGUCAUUAUUUCUUCCAGGAAUACUAAAUAUAAUAAUAUGUAAGUGUUAUAGAGGCAGUGAUAGGCAAAUGAAUUGAAAUAAUCUCUAACAAGCAGC